Molecule: ribosomal RNA, 547 nt
Filed under: uncultured bacterium
Lineage: Bacteria
Description: bacterial SSU rRNA
Rfam family: Bacterial small subunit ribosomal RNA
Source: RNAcentral
UAGGGAAUUUUUCACAAUGAGCGAAAGCUUGAUGGAGCAAUGCCGCGUGAACGAUGGAGGUCUUUAAGAUUGUAAAGUUCUUUUAUUUGGGAAGAAUGACUUUAGCAGGUAAUGGCUAGAGUUUGACUGUACCAUUUUGAAUAAGUGACGACUAACUAUGUGCCAGCAGUCGCGGUAAUACAUAGGUCGCAAGCGUUAUCCGGAUUUAUUGGGCGUAAAGCAAGCGCAGGCGGAUUGAAAAGUCUGGUGUUAAAGGCAGCUGCUUAACAGUUGUAUGCAUUGGAAACUAUUAAUCUAGAGUGUGGUAGGGAGUUUUGGAAUUUCAUGUGGAGCGGUGAAAUGCGUAGAUAUAUGAAGGAACACCAGUGGCGAAGGCGAAAACUUAGGCCAUUACUGACGCUUAGGCUUGAAAGUGUGGGGAGCAAAUAGGAUUAGAUACCCUAGUAGUCCACACCGUAAACGAUAGAUACUAGCUGUCGGGGCGAUCCCCUCGGUAGGGAAGUUAACACAUUAAGUAUCUCGCCUGGGUAGUACAUUCGCAAGAAUG